GUGAACGCUGGCGGUAGGCCUAACACAUGCACGUCGCACGGCAGCACAGUAAGAGCUUGCUCUUACGGGUGGCGAGUGGCGGACGGGUGAGGAAUACAUCGGAAUCUACUUUUUCGUGGGGGAUAACGUAGGGAAACUUACGCUAAUACCGCAUACGACCUACGGGUGAAAGCAGGGGAUCUUCGGACCUUGCGCGAUUGAAUGAGCCGAUGUCGGAUUAGCUAGUUGGCGGGGUAAAGGCCCACCAAGGCGACGAUCCGUAGCUGGUCUGAGAGGAUGAUCAGCCACACUGGAACUGAGACACGGUCCAGACUCCUACGGGAGGCAGCAGUGGGGAAUAUUGGACAAUGGGCGCAAGCCUGAUCCAGCCAUACCGCGUGGGUGAAGAAGGCCUUCGGGUUGUAAAGCCCUUUUGUUGGGAAAGAAAAGCAGCAGGUUAAUACCCCGCUGUUCUGACGGUACCUAAAGAAUAAGCACCGGCUAACUUCGUG
Molecule: ribosomal RNA, 491 nt
Filed under: uncultured bacterium
Lineage: Bacteria
Description: partial 16S ribosomal RNA
Rfam family: Bacterial small subunit ribosomal RNA
Source: RNAcentral